RNAcentral lists this ribosomal RNA (537 nucleotides) under uncultured soil bacterium. RNAcentral's name for it is "bacterial SSU rRNA". It matches the Rfam family "Bacterial small subunit ribosomal RNA", at positions 8 to 524 of the family's 1533-position model. The record is from RNAcentral.
AGAGUUUGAUCCUGGCUCAGAAUCAACGCUGGCGGCGUGCCUCAGACAUGCAAGUCGAACGCGAAAGUUUCCUUCGGGGGGCGAGUAGAGUGGCGUCCGGGUGAGUAACACGUAGGUGAUCUACCUUUGGGUGGGGAAUAACAACCGGAAACGGUUGCUAAUACCGCAUAAUGCAGCGGCACCGCAUGGUGACAGUUGUUAAAGCGGGGGAUCGUAAGACCUCGCGCCUAAAGAGGAGCCUGUGGCGGAUUAGCUAGUUGGCAGGGUAAUGGCCUACCAAGGCAACGAUCCGUAGCCGGCCUGAGAGGGCGGUCGGCCACACUGACACUGAAAUACGGGUCAGACUCCUACGGGAGGCAGCAGUCGGGAAUUUUGGGCAAUGGGCGAAAGCCUGACCCAGCAACGCCGCGUGAAGGAUGAAAUCCCUCGGGAUGUAAACUUCGCAAGAAUGGGAAGAAUAGGUAGGGGCUAAUACCCUCUAUGAUGACGGUACCAUUUGUAAGCUCCGGCUAACUCCGUGCCAGCAGCCGCGGUAAU